Molecule: ribosomal RNA, 406 nt
Filed under: uncultured bacterium
Lineage: Bacteria
Description: partial 16S ribosomal RNA
Rfam family: Bacterial small subunit ribosomal RNA
Source: RNAcentral
AUUGAACGCUGGCGGCAGGCCUAACACAUGCAAGUCGAACGAGUGGCGGACGGGUGAGUAAUGUCUGGGAAACUGCCCGAUGGAGGGGGAUAACUACUGGAAACGGUAGCUAAUACCGCAUACCAUCGGAUGUGCCCGGAUGGGAUUAGCUAGUAGGUGGGGUAACGGCUCACCUAGGCGCCGAUCCCUAGACGGUCUGAGAGGAUGACCGGCCACACGGGAACUGAGACACGGUCCAGACGCCUACGGGAGGCAGCAGGGGGGAAUAGUGCACAAUGGGCGCAAGCCUUAUGCAGCCAUGCCGCGUGUAUGAAGAAGGCCUUCGGGGUGUAAAGUACUUGCAGGGGGGAGGCGUUACUCGCAGAAGAAGCACCGGCUAACUCCGUGCCAGCAGCCGCGGUAAUAC